GGGGGUGUACUGGCUUUCGACGGGAAAUGGGAGAUAUUGAACAGCAUGUCGAGGAUAUCGGUUGGCCUCGUUAAUCAUCCGGUAAAAUUAUAAUUGCCGAAGAUUAUUCUUUCGCAAUGGCUGCUUAAUAAAGCGGCAACUUGAGCAGGGAGCGCACUUCUUUUUGCUUGAGCAGUUUAAGGUGCUGGUCCGGAAAAGGGUACCGGUUUCCGGAUGAGAUUUUUGGUACUGGGCACAUUGUAAGCGGGUUUGUCGGCGUACGGUGUGUCGAGAUUAAAAGACAGACUAAGCAUGUAGCGGUUCAUAUUGAUCGUUUUUCGGACAGGGGUUCAACUCCCCUCACCUCCACCA
RNAcentral lists this transfer-messenger RNA (351 nucleotides) under Fibrobacter sp. It matches the Rfam family "transfer-messenger RNA". Rfam says of the family: Bacterial tmRNA, also known as 10Sa RNA or SsrA, is named for its dual tRNA and mRNA-like properties. Its role is to liberate the mRNA from a stalled ribosome. RNAcentral also lists the same sequence under 1 other name. Lineage: Bacteria; Pseudomonadati; Fibrobacterota; Fibrobacteria; Fibrobacterales; Fibrobacteraceae. The record is from RNAcentral.